This 334-nucleotide long non-coding RNA is filed under the name Mytilus galloprovincialis (Mediterranean mussel). Lineage: Eukaryota; Metazoa; Mollusca; Bivalvia; Mytilida; Mytilidae. The record is from RNAcentral.
UUCUUGUUGCUACAAUUAUCUCUAUCUGUAAUGAACUUGGCCCAGUAAUUACAGUGGAAAAUAUCUUUUAAAAAUUUACAAAAAUUUACAAACAUUUAUGAAAAUUGUUAACAAUUGACUAUAAAGGACAAUAACUCCUUUCGGGGUCAAUUGACAAUUUUGGUCAAGUUGACUUAUUUGUAGAUUUUAUUUUGCUGAACAUUAUUGCUGUUUACAGUUUAUCUCUAUCUAUAAUAAUAUUCAAGAUAAUAACCAAAAUCUGCAAAAUUUCCUUAAAAUUACUAAUUCGGGGGCAGCAACCCAACAACAGGUUGUCCGAUUUGUCUGAAAAUUU